This 64-nucleotide non-coding RNA is filed under the name unclassified sequences. The record is from RNAcentral.
GCGGUGUGCGGCACCGCGAGACAUCAACCGGGCCUGAGGCCCGAAAGCAGACGGAAGACAGAAA